Long non-coding RNA from Brassica rapa (field mustard), 450 nucleotides. RefSeq lists it as uncharacterized. NCBI's taxonomy places the organism in Eukaryota, Viridiplantae, Streptophyta, Magnoliopsida, Brassicales, Brassicaceae. The record is from RefSeq and is a predicted model, not a curated record.
CCACAUUCUGAGUUUGUCUUACACUCAGAGGCACAUUCAACAUUUGAGACACUUUUCCUUGUCUUGUAGUACGUGGUUGGACAACAGUGCCCUUAUUGAGAGCUUCGGCAGUUUAGUAUUCUAAUAUAGGAAACCGGUUUGGUUUGGUCCUUGUUUCCUAUAAUGCAUUAAUGUUUUAUGUUUAUUAAUAGAAAUGAUUUAUUGUUCACCGUUGGAUGGCGCAUGGAUGCUCACAAUCCGAAGGCUGAAAUUAAAUGUCGGUAUGCAGGAACUGAGCAUACGACAUCAGUUUUGUAUCUUUGUCAAAAGUUUUUAGUUUCCUCAACAGAUUCUAUUUUUUAUUAUCUCGUAUUAUAGUAACUAAAUUUGAUAUAUAAUAUAUACAAUCCAUAUGUAUAUAUUUAUUUUGAUAUUUUAAUUUUUGUAAAAUUUAAAAUUGAAUUAUGUGGA